This 597-nucleotide ribosomal RNA is filed under the name uncultured bacterium. RNAcentral describes it as "bacterial SSU rRNA". It matches the Rfam family "Bacterial small subunit ribosomal RNA", at positions 801 to 1397 of the family's 1533-position model. The record is from RNAcentral.
CGUAAACGAUGUCGACCAGCCGUUGGGUGCCUCGCGCACUUAGUGGCGAAGUUAACGCGAUAAGUCGACCGCCUGGGGAGUACGGCCGCAAGGUUAAAACUCAAAUGAAUUGACGGGGGCCCGCACAAGCGGUGGAGCAUGUGGUUUAAUUCGAUGCAACGCGAAGAACCUUACCUACUCUUGACAUCCUGCGAAUUUGGUAGAGAUACCUUAGUGCCUUCGGGAACGCAGAGACAGGUGCUGCAUGGCUGUCGUCAGCUCGUGCUGUGAAAUGUUGGGUUAAGUCCCGUAACGAGCGCAACCCUUGUCCUUAUUUGCCAGCACGUAAAGGUGGGAACUCUAAGGAGACUGCCGGUGACAAACCGGAGGAAGGUGGGGACGACGUCAAGUCAUCAUGGCCCUUACGAGUAGGGCUACACACGUGCUACAAUGGCCGGUACAAAGGGCUGCGAGCUCGCGAGAGUCAGCGAAUCCCUUAAAGCCGGUCUCAGUCCGGAUCGGAGUCUGCAACUCGACUCCGUGAAGUCGGAAUCGCUAGUAAUCGUGAAUCAGAAUGUCACGGUGAAUACGUUCCCGGGCCUUGCACACACCGCCCGU